AAGCGGUGGAGCAUGUGGUUUAAUUCGAAGCAACGCGAAGAACCUUACCAGGCCUUGACAUGCAGAGAACUUCCAGAGAUGGAUUGGUGCCGUUCGGGAACUCUGACACAGGUGCUGCAUGGCUGUCGUCAGCUCGUGUCGUGAGAUGGUUGGGUUAACGUCCCGUAACGAGCGCAACCCUUGUCCUUAGUUACCAGCACGUUAUGGUGGGCACUCUAAGGAGACUGCCGGUGUUAAACCGGAGGAAGGUGGGGAUGACGUCAAGUCCUCAUGGCCUUUAUGACCAGGGCUACACACGUACUACAAUGGCCGAUACAAAGGGCAGCGACACUGCGAGGUGAAGCCAAUCCCGUAAAAUCGGUCUCAGUCCGGAUUGGAGUCUGCAACUCGACUCCAUGAAGUUGGAAUCGCUAGUAAUCGUGGAUCAGCAUGCCACGGUGAAUACGUUCCCGGGCCUU
This 458-nucleotide ribosomal RNA is filed under the name uncultured Desulfobulbus sp. RNAcentral describes it as "bacterial SSU rRNA". It matches the Rfam family "Bacterial small subunit ribosomal RNA", at positions 927 to 1382 of the family's 1533-position model. Lineage: Bacteria; Pseudomonadati; Thermodesulfobacteriota; Desulfobulbia; Desulfobulbales; Desulfobulbaceae. The record is from RNAcentral.